RNAcentral lists this ribosomal RNA (264 nucleotides) under uncultured bacterium. Its description in RNAcentral is "partial 16S ribosomal RNA". It matches the Rfam family "Bacterial small subunit ribosomal RNA", at positions 90 to 354 of the family's 1533-position model. The record is from RNAcentral.
ACUGAGUGGCGGACGGGUGAGUAACGCGUGGGUAACCUGCCCUGUACUGGGGGACAACAGUUAGAAAUGACUGCUAAUACCGCAUAAGCGCACAGGACCGCAUGGUCCGGUGUGAAAAACUCCGGUGGUACAGGAUGGACCCGCGUCUGAUUAGGUAGUUGGCGGGGUAACGGCCCACCAAGCCGACGAUCAGUAGCCGACCUGAGAGGGUGACCGGCCACAUUGGGACUGAGACACGGCCCAAACUCCUACGGGAGGCAGCAG